This 443-nucleotide ribosomal RNA is filed under the name uncultured bacterium. RNAcentral's name for it is "bacterial SSU rRNA". It matches the Rfam family "Bacterial small subunit ribosomal RNA", at positions 64 to 524 of the family's 1533-position model. The record is from RNAcentral.
GAGACGGAAAGGCCCUUCGGAGAUCUCGAGCGGCGAACGGGUGAGUAACACGUGAGCAACCUGCCCUAGGCUUUGGGAUAACCCCGAGAAAUCGGGGCUAAUACCGAAUAUUACCUUCUGCCGCAUGGUGGGGGGUGGAAAGUUUUUCGGCCUGGGAUGGGCUCGCGGCCUAUCAGCUUGUUGGUGGGGUGAUGGCCUACCAAGGCGACGACGGGUAGCCGGCCUGAGAGGGCGACCGGCCACACUGGGACUGAGACACGGCCCAUACUCCUACGGGAGGCAGCAGUGGGGAAUAUUGCACAAUGGGCGGAAGCCUGAUGCAGCGACGCCGCGUGAGGGAUGACGGCCUUCGGGUUGUAAACCUCUUUCAGCAGGGACGAAGCGCAAGUGACGGUACCUGCAGAAGAAGCGCCGGCCAACUACGUGCCAGCAGCCGCGGUAAU